CCUGUCAGUUCUGUAGGCCACU
This 22-nucleotide microRNA is filed under the name Salmo salar (Atlantic salmon). Its description in RNAcentral is "ssa-miR-192b-5p". Its record names the gene ssa-miR-192a-2-3p. The record is from miRBase by way of RNAcentral. Lineage: Eukaryota; Metazoa; Chordata; Actinopteri; Salmoniformes; Salmonidae. RNAcentral also lists the same sequence under 1 other name.